Molecule: ribosomal RNA, 1340 nt
Filed under: metagenome
Description: bacterial LSU rRNA
Rfam family: Bacterial large subunit ribosomal RNA
Source: RNAcentral
CCAAAUGCGGGAAGCAGGGUGAUCCUAUGCUGCCAAGAAAAUCUUCUAGCGAGGUUCUAGCCGCCCGUACCCCAAACCGACUCAGGUGGUUAGGUAGAGAAUACCAAGGCGAUCGAGUGAAUCGUAGUUAAGGAAUUCGGCAAAAUGCCCCCGUAACUUCGGGAGAAGGGGGGCCCGGAUUCUGAAGUCCUUUACGGACUAGGAUGAUGGGCCGCAGAGACCAGGGAGAAGCGACUGUUUACUAAAAACACAGGUCCGUGCGAAGUUGCAAAACGAUGUAUACGGACUGACGCCUGCCCGGUGCUGGAAGGUUAAGAGGACGGGUUAGACGCAAGUCGAAGCUCAGAAUUUAAGCCCCAGUAAACGGCGGUGGUAACUAUAACCAUCCUAAGGUAGCGAAAUUCCUUGUCGGGUAAGUUCCGACCUGCACGAAUGGCGUAACGACUUCUCCACUGUCUCAACUGCGAACUCGGCGAAAUUGCAUUACGAGUAAAGAUGCUCGUUACGCGCAGCAGGACGGAAAGACCCCGGGACCUUUACUAUAGCUUGGUAUUGGUGUUCGGGACGGCUUGUGUAGGAUAGGUGGGAGACUAUGAAGCAUGCACGCCAGUGUGUGUGGAGUCAACGUUGAAAUACCACUCUGGUCGUUCUGGAUAUCUAACCUCGGUCCGUGAUCCGGAUCAGGGACAGUGCCUGGUGGGUAGUUUAACUGGGGCGGUUGCCUCCUAAAAUGUAACGGAGGCGCUCAAAGGUUCCCUCAGUCUGGUUGGCAAUCAGAUUUUGAGUGUAAGUGCACAAGGGAGCUUGACUGUGAGACUGACAAGUCGAACAGGGACGAAAGUCGGAACUAGUGACCCGACGGUGGCUUGUGGAAGCGCCGUCGCUCAACGGAUAAAAGGUACCCCGGGGAUAACAGGCUGAUCUUGCCCAAGAGUCCAUAUCGACGGCAUGGUUUGGCACCUCGAUGUCGGCUCGUCGCAUCCUGGGGGUGGAGUUGCUCCCAAGGGUUGGGCUGUUCGCCCAUUAAAGCGGUACGCGAGCUGGGUUUAGAACGUCGUGAGACAGUUCGGUCCCUAUCCGCUGCGCGCGUAGGAAACUUGAGAAAGGCUGACCCUAGUACGAGAGGACCGGGUUGGACGAACCUCUGGUGUGUCAGUUGUUCUGCCAAGAGCACGGCUGAUUGGCUACGUUCGGAAGUGAUAACCGCUGAAAGCAUCUAAGCGGGAAGCACGUUUCAAGAUGAGGUUCCAUGGGCUUUGCCCGAGAGGCUCCCAGUAGACGACUGGGUUGAUAGGCCAGAUGUGGAAGUGCAGCAAUGCAUGUAGCUGACUGGUACUAAU